CCCCUAGAUGUUCUGGGCCGCACGCGCGCUACACUGACCAGUGCAACAAGCAUCCGUCCUUGGCCGACAGGCUCGGGCAAUCUUUGAACGCUGGUCGUGAUGGGGAUAGACUUUUGCAAUUUUUGGUCUUCAACGAGGAAUUCCUAGUAAACGCAAGUCAUCAACUUGCAUUGAUUACGUCCCUGCCCUUUGUACACACCGCCCGUCGCACCUACCGAUUGAAUGGUCCGGUGAAAUCUCGGGACGGCGGCUUGGUCGCUUGCGUCCGACUGCUGAAACUUGAUUAAACCAUAUCAUUUAGAGGAAGGUGAAGUCGUAACA
RNAcentral lists this ribosomal RNA (321 nucleotides) under uncultured eukaryote. RNAcentral describes it as "partial 18S ribosomal RNA". It matches the Rfam family "Eukaryotic small subunit ribosomal RNA", at positions 1470 to 1796 of the family's 1831-position model. The record is from RNAcentral.